RNAcentral lists this ribosomal RNA (486 nucleotides) under uncultured bacterium. RNAcentral describes it as "bacterial SSU rRNA". It matches the Rfam family "Bacterial small subunit ribosomal RNA", at positions 33 to 507 of the family's 1533-position model. The record is from RNAcentral.
GACGACGCUGGCGGCGUGGAUUAGGCAUGCAAGUCGAACGGUAUCAUCCUUUCGGGGGUGAGAGAGUGGCGAACUGGUGAGUAACACGUAGGUUAUCUACCCUCAAGACGGGGACAACCCAGGGAAACUUGGGCUAAUACCGGAUGUGAGCAACUUUUAGUUGUUUGAAAGGUGGCGUAAGCUGUCGCUUGGGGAUGAGCCUGCGUCCUAUUAGUUAGUUGGUGAGGUAACGGCUCACCUAGGCAAUGAUAGGUAGGCGGCCUUAACGGGUGGUCGCCCACACUGGGAUCGAGAUACGGCCCAGACUCCUACGGGAGGCAGCAGUCGAGAAUAGUCUACAAUGGUCGGAAGACUGAUAGUGCGACGCCGCGUGAACGAUGAAUCCCUUCGGGGUGUAAAGUUCUUUUAUAUGUGAGCAGUGCUUCUUACAUUAACAGUAUGGGGAGAGAGAUAUUAGCAUAUGAAUAAGCAACGGCUAACUCCGUG